GCAGUCGACGAGCGAGAGAGAGCUUGCUUUCUCGAGCGAGUGGCGAACGGGUGAGUAACGCGUGAGGAACCUGCCUCAAAGAGGGGGACAACAGUUGGAAACGACUGCUAAUACCGCAUAAGCCCACGGGUCGGCAUCGACCAGAGGGAAAAGGAGCAAUCCGCUUUGAGAUGGCCUCGCGUCCGAUUAGCUAGUUGGUGAGGUAAUGGCCCACCAAGGCGACGAUCGGUAGCCGGACUGAGAGGUUGAACGGCCACAUUGGGACUGAGACACGGCCCAGACUCCUACGGGAGGCAGCAGUGGGGAAUAUUGCACAAUGGGGGAAACCCUGAUGCAGCGACGCCGCGUGGAGGAAGAAGGUCUUCGGAUUGUAAACUCCUGUUGUUGGGGAAGAUAAUGACGGUACCCAACAAGGAAGUGACGGCUAACUACGUGCCAGCAGCCGCGGUAAAACGUAGGUCACAAGCGUUGUCCGGAAUUACUGGGUGUAAAGGGAGCG
Molecule: ribosomal RNA, 499 nt
Filed under: uncultured bacterium
Lineage: Bacteria
Description: bacterial SSU rRNA
Rfam family: Bacterial small subunit ribosomal RNA
Source: RNAcentral